UACGGAGGGUGCAAGCAUUAAUCGGAAUUCUUGGGCGUACAGGGCGUGUAGGCGGGAGCGCAAGUCAGACGUGAAAUCCCGGGGCUUAACCCCGGAACUGCGUUUGAAACUGCGCUUCUUGAGGUUGGACGGAGAAAGCGGAAUUCCACAAGUAGCGGUGAAAUGCUUAGAUAUGUGGAAGAACACCUGUGGCGAAAGCGGCUUUCUAGUUUACACCUGACGCUGAGGCGCGAAAGCAAGGGGAUCAAACAGG
Molecule: ribosomal RNA, 253 nt
Filed under: uncultured bacterium
Lineage: Bacteria
Description: partial 16S ribosomal RNA
Rfam family: Bacterial small subunit ribosomal RNA
Source: RNAcentral